CAGUAGCCGCGGUAAUACGGAGGGUGCAAGCGUUAAUCGGAAUUACUGGGCGUAAAGCGCACGCAGGCGGUCUGACAAGUCAGAUGUGAAAUCCCCGGGCUUAACCUGGGAACUGCAUUUGAAACUGUCAGGCUGGAGUCUUGUAGAGGGGGGUGGAAUUCCAGGUGUAGCGGUGAAAUGCGUAGAGAUCUGGAGGAAUACCGGUGGCGAAGGCGGCCCCCUGGACAAAGACUGACGCUCAGGUGCGAAAGCGUGGGGAGCAAACAGGAUUAGAUACUCCUGUAGUCCCUGUCUCUUAUAC
Molecule: ribosomal RNA, 301 nt
Filed under: uncultured bacterium
Lineage: Bacteria
Description: partial 16S ribosomal RNA
Rfam family: Bacterial small subunit ribosomal RNA
Source: RNAcentral